GUGCUUGUUUCAGCAGCAUAUGUACUAGAAAACUGGAAUGAUAGAGAGAAGAUUAGCAUGGCCCCUGUGCAAGGGUGAGACACAAAUUCAUGAAGCGUUCCAUAUAAAA
Molecule: small nuclear RNA, 109 nt
Organism: Molossus molossus (Pallas's mastiff bat)
Lineage: Eukaryota; Metazoa; Chordata; Mammalia; Chiroptera; Molossidae
Source: RefSeq, a predicted model, not a curated record